Molecule: ribosomal RNA, 1167 nt
Filed under: Triticum aestivum (bread wheat)
Lineage: Eukaryota; Viridiplantae; Streptophyta; Magnoliopsida; Poales; Poaceae
Description: partial small subunit ribosomal RNA
Source: RNAcentral
GUUGCCGCCAUCGAGGCCACCCCUGAAUCCGUCGCGGCAUGGCUCCCCAUCGACGCCUGUCGCCUCUCCGGUGUCCUAGAUUUCCAGAACAGGGGGAACAUGGACGAGACCUCCGCCGCCUCUCCUUUGAAGCUGCCUUGCUUUCAGAACGCAACCAAGGUCGUGCUUGAUCUAGAUUCUAUCGGCCUCACCCUGCCGCCUUCCGGCAUAUUUACCCGGCUCGCCGAUCUGGUGCUGAUUGGCAUCCAGCUCCAUGGUCCCUGUAGCCUCGGUGAUGUUGUUUCUUCACCACGGUGUCCAUCUUUGACGCGUCUUUGCGUUGGCAGUGUCAAGGGUCUGGAAGAGUUCACAAUCCACUCAGAGUCUCUCCUAGAAUUGGUGCUCAGUGGUCUCCCUGGCUUGCACCAGCUCAAUGUCGUUGCGCUGGCUCUGAAAGACUUAGCAGUACGGAGUUGCUUCACUGAUGCUCUCAAUCGGAGUCAACACAUUGCCAACAUCUCAGCCCCUCAGCUGGUGACACUUGAUUGGAAGAGUUCUUAUGAUCCUAGCUCUGUCCUGCUUGGCGAGAUGUCACAUCUCCAACAGCUGACAACGCAAUAUUUAAUUGUAUAUGGACAAUAUAUUUUUUCUGCACAUAAUCGUCAUUGCUUGAUGCUUCUGCAGCGUUUUGACCACAUCAGCAGACUUGUUCUCUACCUUGUCUAUGCACCGCUUCAAGUCAACGGCCGAUUCUUGAUGGAGGAGAUGACAAACUUUCCUAACAUUACCAGCUUGACACUAAAUGUAGUGGCAUGUAGUCAUUCCUUUGGAGCCAGCUCAUUCCAUGUUCUCAGUAUGUCUAGUGGCGUAAGAGAGCUGGAGAUUAGACUUGUCGACCUGCCGAGCGAACACGAGGCACUCGCUUCUGCGUGCCAAUCAGGUUGCAUUUGUGCCAAGCCAUCAAUCUGGGAAACCGAGGAACUCGUCCUCCAUUGCCUCGAAGAAGUAGUAAUCAGUGGCCUGAGAGGAACUGAACAUGAACUCGCUUUUGUGAAAAGGUUAUUCAACUGGACAACAGUGCUAAAGAGGAUGACAGUAAAUUUUCGUGUUUCAAUGACUGAAAGCAAGGCCAAAGAGCUUCGCCAGCUGCUAUUAAGUUUCUCUAGGCCAGGAAUAUGUAUGAAAUUC